This is a long non-coding RNA of Nanorana parkeri, 164 nucleotides long. RefSeq lists it as uncharacterized. The transcript has 3 exons. The record is from RefSeq and is a predicted model, not a curated record. NCBI's taxonomy places the organism in Eukaryota, Metazoa, Chordata, Amphibia, Anura, Dicroglossidae.
UCCCAAUGAGCACCAAUGUAAGGAGCAUUCUUCCCAAUGGCCACCAAUGUAAGGAACAUUCUUCCAAAUGACCACCAAAAUAAGGAACAUUCUUCACAAUGACCGCAAAUGUAAGGAGCAUUCUGCCCACUGACCACCAAUGCAAGUAACAUUCUUCCCGCUGA